This 28-nucleotide non-coding RNA is filed under the name Rattus norvegicus (Norway rat). Lineage: Eukaryota; Metazoa; Chordata; Mammalia; Rodentia; Muridae. The record is from RNAcentral.
UGGCAGCAAAAGGUAAUCAUCAUAGUGC